This 467-nucleotide ribosomal RNA is filed under the name uncultured bacterium. RNAcentral describes it as "partial 16S ribosomal RNA". It matches the Rfam family "Bacterial small subunit ribosomal RNA", at positions 28 to 507 of the family's 1533-position model. The record is from RNAcentral.
GACGAACGCUGGCGGCGUGCUUAACAAAUGCAGGUCGAACGGAAGGCCCUUCCUUUGUUGGGUUCCCGGGUGGCGAACGGGGGAGGAAAACGGGAGUUACCUGCCCCUUACUUUUGGGUAACCUUAGGGAAACGGGGCUUAUACCCGGAAGGAACUCCUGCUGCAUGGGGGGGGGUGGGAAGUUUCGGCGGUUGGGGAUGGACUCGCGGCUUAUCGGCUUGUUGGGGGGGUAGUGGCUUACCAAGGCUUUGACGGGUAGCCGGCCUGAGAGGGUGACCGGCCACAUUGGGACUGAGAUACGGCCCAGACUCCUACGGGAGGCAGCAGUGGGGAAUAUUGCACAAUGGGCGGAAGCCUGAUGCAGCAACGCCGCGUGCGGGAUGACGGCCUUCGGGUUGUAAACCGCUUUCGCCUGUGACGAAGCGUGAGUGACGGUAAUGGGUAAAGAAGCACCGGCUAACUACGUG